This 146-nucleotide ribosomal RNA is filed under the name Helicobacter pylori. RNAcentral describes it as "partial 16S ribosomal RNA". It matches the Rfam family "Bacterial small subunit ribosomal RNA", at positions 1387 to 1533 of the family's 1533-position model. The record is from RNAcentral. Lineage: Bacteria; Pseudomonadati; Campylobacterota; Epsilonproteobacteria; Campylobacterales; Helicobacteraceae.
UCACCGCCCGUCACACCAUGGGAGUUGUGUUUGCCUUAAGUCAGGAUGCUAAAUUGGCUACUGCCCACGGCACACACAGCGACUGGGGUGAAGUCGUAACAAGGUAACCGUAGGUGAACCUGCGGUUGGAUCACCUCCUUUCUAGA